RNAcentral lists this ribosomal RNA (274 nucleotides) under uncultured bacterium. RNAcentral's name for it is "partial 16S ribosomal RNA". It matches the Rfam family "Bacterial small subunit ribosomal RNA", at positions 523 to 796 of the family's 1533-position model. The record is from RNAcentral.
AUACGGAGGGAGCAAGCGUUAUUCGGAAUCACUGGGCGUAAAGGACGCGUAGGCGGGUUUGUAAGUCAGGUGUGAAAUCCUACAGCUCAACUGUAGAACUGCACUUGAAACUACGGACCUAGAGUAUGGAAGGGGCGGAUGGAAUUAGUGGUGUAGGGGUAAAAUCCGUAGAUAUCACUAGGAAUACCGAAAGCGAAGGCGAUCUGCUGGGACAUUACUGACGCUGAGGCGUGAAAGCGUGGGGAGCAAACAGGAUUAGAAACCCUAGUAGUCC